Long non-coding RNA from Brassica napus (rape), 11576 nucleotides. RefSeq lists it as uncharacterized. NCBI's taxonomy places the organism in Eukaryota, Viridiplantae, Streptophyta, Magnoliopsida, Brassicales, Brassicaceae. The record is from RefSeq and is a predicted model, not a curated record. The transcript has 3 exons.
CUGUUAUUUAUAAAUAUAUCUUUGAUAAAAAAAAAAAAAAAACAAGUAAGAUUCUAACUCAAAUUAGGUAAGCACAAAUGGAGUGUUUUUUGUUAGGUCUUACAAAACAAGAGUUUGGCUUGGAGUUGGCAAUACGUGUGUUGGCGCCGAUUGAUGCGGUGAGGAAUAACGUAGUAUGUAAAUCCAUGUAAAUAAUCUUAUUUGUUAGUUUAAAUUCCAUUAAUAAGCAUGCACAUCAUCAUUUCAAACAACAACUAUAAUCGAUUAGAAUUUGUUGGGAGUGUUUCUUCCUAAUCAAACCCUUAACGUAGAUUGAUGCGGUGUGUUGGCAAUACUUGUGUUGGCGCCGAUUGAUGCGGUGAGGAAUAACGUAUAGUGUGUGAAUCCAUGUAAAUAAUCUUAUUUGGUAGCUUAAAUACUGAGUUUGUAUGAGAAGAUGAGAACUCAAUUUAGAAAAGAGUAUAAGUUCACUCUCUAACAAUCUAAAAUCAUAGUGUUAAAGCCGUAGAUCUACUAUACCAACUACUACCACCAUUCUGCAGAGGCGGAUCCAUGUAAAGGGCAGGGGUGUCAGAUAGCACCCUUAAAUAAUAUAAAUCAUUUUUGUAGGCUCUGUACAAUAAGAAAGGUAAAGCUUCUAUUUAUAUUCUUUCACCCAUCCUCUGAUCUCUAACUGUCAUCUCCUUUCCUCUUGCCAGCUCAGCAACCCACAGCCACGUCAGCUCUAGUAUUCAAUAUCUAUCAGCUUAACUGCCGGAGAUCUCACGGCGAUUAACACAGGCGCGUCGAGGCUCUACUUGGUCGGCUCAACCUUCAUCGUCCUCUGCUACUGCCUCUUUAAAGAACUCCGCAAGUUCUCCUUCAAGCUCGUCUUCUACCUCCCUCUCUCUGAUAUGAUUUGCAGCUUCUUCCUAAUCCUAGGAACUUUCCAGAGGCAGAGGAUCUCUCUGCAUAUGAUGGCUGGAGUUAAGGCUAGUGCCUUUUCAGUUAAAGGUGUUCGCGAGCUCAUAAAACCGUCAUCGAAUCGGAAGGUCAUGGAGUAUGUCCAGUCCAGCAAGUUUUCAUCUUGCCAAGUUCCAGCCACAGAAAAAGAGCAAUUUAUUUCUCUGAACAUCCCGGAAAACCUGCCUAGGUUAUGGCAGCAGCAAGGGUAUACUCACCUUCACUUUGGUGUAAUGAGAAUUGGUUUGACCUUACAUACGAGAAAAGGUCUACCAGUCAUCGCCCAGAUAGCUUUGAUCGACUCUCGAUUAAAGUCCUACCAGCAAGCAUGCAUCGGAACGGUUCAAACAACAUUAAACGCAUGAACAAUAUUCAUAACACUGUUUCUAAACUUUAAUGUUUCUUUACAAGACCCGAAUCUCUUAAAGACACUCAAGGUUCAGUUUCAACUAAUCGGAGCACCUAUGCAAGAAAAAGGUGUAGCAGCUACCUUACAUCUCGUGAAGAAUUGCUACGCUGGCUACCGGAAUCAUGGGUAACAAGUUAUGAGAAGCUUCAUCAAGCUACCCAGUCGCCUAUCCAAUCAUCAGAAGCCACCUUUCAUUCUCGAAAUGAUGGAACAAUCGAGAUCAGAUUCGAGAAACCUCGAUCAUCAUCAUUUCAAAAGCAACUGUUCACUCAAUUUGGGAUAUAGAUUGAUGAACGAAGCUUCCACAGUCCAGCAAAAGAACAAAAUCCUAAACCAAGUUCUUUUGAAAGAGAUGGGCCUAUAAUCUAUCCUUUUAAAGACAAAGAUGGACACUGUUAUUUUGAUGUAUGUUCUUGUAUUACUUGUGAAGAAGCAAACUACGAAUCUGAUGAAGACAUUCGCAUACGCCGAAGAAAAAAGAAAGACCCGCUCUACAAAAGAUAUCUCGAAGGAGAUACUUCUAUCGGUCCGCUCGGUGAAGGAAGGUACGACUUUAUAGUCCAAUACUCCGACAAGAAAGAUGAGCCAAAACAAGAGAUCAUGAUGAUAAAUACCGAUGUGUUCCCUCCACAAGAAGACUUCUUAAAGAACAACAUAGCCCAUAGACCAAAGAUUCUUUCUCAAGCUAUCGACUCUUCCGGUCCCAGCCAACUAAGUCAAGCAGAGAAGGUCCUCAACUGGCAAACGGAGAAUUUGCUCCCUCAGAAUCAACUUUUAUCAACAAUAAAUCAUAAAGUUGAUCAAUUGGCGGAAGGAUAUAGUAACAGAUUACUCGUCCUCCAAAAUUUGAUCACAGAGAUACAUGGACGACUUGGCAAUCUCCAUCAAGAAAUGAUGACUAUGGCAAAACAUAUGUUGGCAAAUACAACUCAAUUCCGCAACAAAGAAGCAGAGACGACUAGUCUUAAAAACCAAUUAAGAGGUCUCCAAAAGUGCCUAGAAAGUAUGAUUCAUAAUCAGCAGCAAGCUAAUACAUACUUUGACCCCCUUGGAAACACAUCGUCAGGUAUGCCAAUGUAUCAAGGAUCCUACUAUCCUAGAUUUACUCUUUGGUCAUCAGACUCAAAAGACAAAAUCUCCAUUACUGGGCUUUCUAUCCUCCUACGAAGUCUUUACAUCUCGCUAUGGCUCGACUUCAAUCAUCUAUCAUCCCAAGACAACGCGUUCAAAGUCUCGGCGUCAAAAGGAAUCAGAAUUUCAAGUCAACUCAAAUAAGAAAAGAACUCUUACGUCGUCCUCUAGUCACGAGUCUGUUGAAGACAACAAGAAGAAAGGACAUGACAUUGGGAUAAUCGAAUUUUCGAUGGCAAACCUGCUCAAUAAUCUCAGCAAGCUUCCUGAGACAUAUGAUCAAAAGAAUCAACAACCCUCAUCUUCUCGACAAAUCAGAAAUAUCGGUCACAUCUCAGAUACAAGUUCCAGUGACUACGAGACCGAAUCAAAUGAGCAAUCUCUACCAAAACAGUUUGCAAUUGGAGAAGGAUCGAAAUCCCCAAAAAAAAGAGCCAAGUAUCAACAUGUCUAUUCCAGUGAUGAAGAAAUGAAUUAUGUGCCUCCCAGGCAGGAGAUUCCAACUAAGAAAUUUGCUUUAAAAAUCAUGGUGUUAACAUUCGAUGACAUUCCUUUUGAAAAAUGGAAUGGCCGUCUUGACGAGUUUCAUGCAUGGAUGAAUUCUGAAGCCAUUACAUCUCCUUUACAAAUGGUGAUCCAACAAUUCACUGCAAGACUAUCUGGAGCACUUAAAGAAUGGUGGAAUUCGCUCGGUGAAUAUAGACAACAACAAGUCUAUCAAACAACAAUACCAUUGCUCCUUGGAGAAAUUCAUAGAGAAUUCAUUGGUACACCUACACACCAGAAGGAACAACUACAAGACGAAUUCUUCUCAGCAAAAUGUUGUUCGUUAUGAAAGAAAGAUCUUGCAAAACACUUCGAAAGACAAACACGAAGGUACUACGCCCUGAAUGGCCUUAACAAUCCAAGCCCGAAGCACGUAUACGUCUCUUCCAUCGAUGACUAUCUUAGUCAGCAGACUAAGCUAUACAUCAGAUAUCAAGAACAAACAAUCGAAGAAGCUUCUAUUGGUCAAAUCCAGCAAUAUGUGUUCAGAACAGUGGACAAACUCUGUAAACAGAAGGAAUUCUGGAUGGAGUUCAUGGAUAGAUCGAAGCAGCUAUCAAAAAUAUGUGCCAGACCAGAUCUAUCAAUCAAGUGUUCAAAGUCCAAGAAAUCUUGCUCGUGCAGUACACAUGAGAGACGUCGAAAAUUCAAAAAUCGACUCUCUAAACGUUCCGAAAAAUUCAGACGCAGAAGAUUCUUUCGAAAGAAACGAAGCUUCAAAAAAUCAACAAGAUGUUUUCUAUGCCGAAAAGAAGGACACUUCGCAAAAAACUGUCCAAACAAAUCCGCCAAGAAGAAGAAAUACUUAAUUAACUCGAUAUCUGAAAUUGCACCAGAUAUUGACCUUGAAGGCCAUGACCUAGAGUAUGUUCUAUCUUAUGAUAGUGACGACAACGACGCUAUUUGUGGUUACUCGUGACAACUCUUCUGAGUCAUCUCCUGACGAAGAUGAUGACUGUUGUUUCAAGAUCACAAAAAUGCCACAGCAAGACGAGAUAAAAACUCUGCAUUUACAAGUGACGAUCUUCGACCCAUCCUGUCAAGAAGACCCAGUUCACGCCAUUGCAUUCAUAGACACCGGAGCCCAUACCACGAUUAUAAAUCCUAAAAUUCUUUCUCCGUCCAUGUGGCUACCUCAUCAACAGGAAUUUCGUGUUGCAAACUCGGGAUCACUGACAAUCAAGCUCAAAUCAAAACAAUUCAAGAUCAAACUUUUCCCCGGGUGCCACAACACUACCGAAGUACUCGGCUCUACUGCACCUAGAAAGGAUUUGAUAUUAGGAUGGGACUCCUAUUACGCUUUCAAGAAAGAAUUUGAUAUGUCAAUCGAACCACGAGGAUUAAGGUGGAAAAAUCUCUACAAAGCCUUCACAACGAUUCCACGACUUUUCGCAAUUGAAGGAUUGGUCUCUCAAGGGUUUACAAAAAUCAGAGAAAAAAUAACGACAACAUCAUGUGCAGACUCACAUACAAAUUUAUUCCAAAAAUGCAACAACCCACUAUGGUUAAACUCAGAGUUCUUUGUUUCCUUGCCGUUUAAGGAAAAUAUUCAAACCACCCGACAAAAGAGAGUCAUGCAGGAAUGCCACCCAGACUGCUAAAUAGGCGAAACGAUGAAUGCGACCAGCUAGUGAGACAAGGAGUAGUCUCAACAACUAAAUCUCCCUGGGCAUGCAAAGCUUUCUACGUCAAUAAUCGUGUUGAACAAGCAAGAGGAAAGUUAGGACUGGUCAUCGACUACAAGCCAUUGAAUCAGUAUCUGCAAGAUAUCAAAUUUCCGCUACCAAACAAAAGAGCGCUUCUUCAACAUCUUCAAGGAGCGACAAUAUUUUCAAAAUUUGAUCUUAAGUCAUGUUUUUGGUGACUUGGGGUUCAUCCUGAAGAAAGAUACAAAACUACAUUCUUCCUUCCUAAUCGACAUCUUCAAUGGAACGUCUUACCUUUCAGCCUCAAGACCGCACCAUCAUUAUUCCAACAAGCGAUGCUCCGUAUAUUCAAACCUCUGCUCCACACAGCCUUGAUAUAUAUCGAUGAUAUACUUCUAUUCUGAUCGACCGAAAAGGAACACGUUCAGCUUUUUCAACAGUUUCAAAGCAUCAUCAUACAAUAUGGAAUCAUGCUUUCAGCCCGAAAAAUGGUUAUAGCCUAGCCCAACAUCGACUUCCUUGGAAUGCAAAUCACAUAUGGCAAUUUUACACCACAAGCCCAUCUUGCUACAACACUCCUAGAUUUUCCGGACGAAAAUCUCACAAAACGACAAGUCCAACAAUUCCUUGGUGUAAUCAAUUAUGUUAGCGACUUUAUCCCGAAAUUUUCGUAACUGACAAGACCGCUACCGAAUAUGCUGAGAAAGAAUCCACCACAAUGGACAAAUCGGCAAACCGAAGCUGUCAGAAGCCUAAAAAUAGAGGUGCAGAAGAUACCGCCUUUAAAGAUUCCCUCCACUGGAGCACACAUUUUACAGACUGGCGCGAGUGACAAAUAUUGGGGAGCCAUUUUAUAUGAAGAAAUAAAUGGGAAACGUCAAAUCUGUGGAUAUAAAAGUGGACGCUUUAAAGAUUCCGAAAUGCAUUAUCACUCCAUGUUCAAAGAAAUACUGGCCGUCAAGAAGGCUAUCGAGAAGUUCGAGUUCCAUCGAUUUCACAUCGAAAUGGACAUGUCAUCUUUCCCAAAGAUGUUACAAUUCAAGGAGAAGAUGGUCCCACAUCAGCAAUUAUUACGAUGGAGCGAAUGGUUCUCUAAGUAUGAUUUUGAAUUUGUCUAUUUAAAGGGAUCGAAGAACACUCUCGCAGACAUGCUCAGUAGAAAUCCAGUAAAAGAAAUACAAAUAAUGGAGAGCUCUUCAGCAAGAAGUUACUAUGACUUCGAUUCCAACAUGCUUGACGACGCUCAUACGCUUAUCAAAAAAGAUGCCCUACACGAACACCUCUGCGACAAGAUUUUAUUCUAUCAAUCCAUCAUUUUGUCAAAAUACGGAAUCCACAAUCAUCUCAUUUCACCGAUGGGAAUUCACCCGGAUUACCUGUUUGCUCACCUCUACAGGAUCGAAAAUACGUACAUGCCAGAAGAAGUUCUUUGUUAUCUCUGGUAUUCAAUGGUUAUACCAAUACAUCAGCACACAAUUCACUGACCCUCAACGAGGACAUAAGGAAUGCCUCUCGACAUUUCUAACAUGGUUUGCACCAUUAUCUGUUUGGAAGGGUAAAUUAUGGAAAUCAGCAAAAGCAACGGGCUUAUCAUUCAAGAAGUUAAGGAGUCAAGGAGGUCUCAACCUUUCUUCAACCCUCAUACAAUAUACUUCUUUCACCGCCCAGUUCAAGUCGACAACAAAACCGGCAAAAUUCACGCGCUACCUACUCUCAUUCACCACAACGACUACCAACGAGGAGUCAGACCAGAUUUCAACCUCAAUGACAACAAGGCGUAUGAAGACUUUCAAACACAUGUGAUCCGUCUCAACAGUGCCAUGCAAUUAUUUCCCAUUCCUUUCAUCCCGAAUUGGUUCUAUUACCUUAUAAACUACCAAAUGAGCCUCGACGAAGAUCUUCAAUUCUGUAUGGAUAAACGUGCUAAUCCACCAGUUGUUCAAGAUAUCCCAAAGGAAGAAAAACAUGACUUUCAAUCCCAAGAAUGCCCACCAGAGUACUUUCAAGACGCCCAACUCCCGGAUGACUUAAUGAACAUUGAUGAAGUCGGAAGAAUGUUCAACAUCGAAAUCAACGACGAUUCACAGCAGCCUCACGAAGAGCCAGAAGAAGAGUAUAUAUGUCCAGACGAUCACUAUGGAUGUUGUGACAAACACAUCAUUGACUUCGAGAUCGACCACUAAUUAAGUCGUCUGCAAUGUAUAAUUAUUUAAAAUAAGUGUGUUUAAUUAUGUAAAAUAAGUGUGUUUAAUUAUGUAAAAUAAGUGUAAUCAAUAAUGAUGUAAGCGAUGAUGUAAUCGCUGUAAGCUUAUUUAAGCAUGAUGUAAGCGAUGAUGUAAUCGCCAUUGUAAAUACGUGUCUUAUCCUCCACUAUAAAUAUGUGUGUACCCCCAUUGAAAAAUAUAAAAUAAUUUCAUAAAAAACCUCUCUCUAAGUUUCUCUCUCUAAUGUUCUUCUAAACUCUUAAGUUUUUCAGACCUUAUCACAUCUUUGAUAAGCUUUGAUUUUUGUCUUCCGAUCGCAAGUCCCGAUUCUGUCCGUUGCAUAAUUAAGCAUAAGUAAUUCUGUCAACACGAUCUUAUCAACACGACGCCUCCCGGUGGUUGAGCAAAUUGGUGGCAGCCUCCCGGUGGUUGAGCAAAUUGGUGGCAAAACAAAUAGUGCCCAUAUUGCUUCCUAUACUUGGAAAUCGCCAUGCCCUCGUUUGUUACAUUUUCUGGAGUUAGAGUUGAUUCCGCGCACCUGAUCAGAUUUUUCUUUUUCAAUUAAUAGAUCAAAUUUAUGAUUGAUCAUGUUUUUUAGUUGAUUGUACAUAAUGUUGCUUGCUCGUGUGGCUCGUGGAUAUUCAAACAAUCAAAGUACUAUAUUACACUAGGGGUUUAGCCCCCGCGCAACCGCGGGACUGGGUAAGUUGUCGAUGCAUUGUGUUGUUUUGUGCAUGUAAUUGUAUUGUUUGUUUUUUGAUAAAAGUUAAUUUUGUCAUGUUGUCUAUAAUUGUCUACGAAUGGAGGAUCGAAAGUUAUACAUGUUGAUUAGGUAGAUCUAACAAUGGCCAUAGUAUUCAUUUCGCUGUUAUUGUUUUUAAUCUUAUAUUGGUAUAGAUUUGAUUGACCUCUAGCGUAAAAAUGAUCAAAGAUAAUCGAACUUUUGUAGUUGUUAAGUUACGGUUAAAAUAGUGUAAGGAAAAGGGUUUAAAUUUUGAUUUUAAAAUUUUUAAAUGUAUAUGUACAGUAAAUAAUAUAAUUUUCUUAGUUUACACGGACUUUAUUGUGAAACUUCUCAAAUGUAGUCUUUUUUGUAAAAUUAAAGUAAUACGUGAAGAUAUGUAUAUAUUUAUAUUGUUAUAUAACUAUUUAUUAUAGAGUGUUAGCGAUUUUUUUAAUAAAAAUGGUUUUGUGGUUUUUAAAAAAAAAUCAAUCGCAGACCAAAAAAAGAAAUUGGUAUAGCUUUAUGUUUCAAGAAAAUAAUCUGGGUUUAAAUUGUUUAGGUUUAAAAUUUGGUGGGCCUUGGAACAUUAGUUUUCUCUGCUUCUAACUCAACCGUUAGGUCGUUUUAUUUUUCAUCGUCGGGAGAGCUUCUAGCUUUCCAGUUAUUAAUUCAACCCAAUGAUCGUCCACCCCACCAAAGGCAUCUAGGAGCGUAGUCCCGCGCUUCCGAAAACAUAUUUUUUCAAUAUGGAACAUUAUUGUAUCAAACAUGAGUAAAUGUAUAUAAACUGACCAAGGCUUUCGACUUGUGGUUCCUUGCUGCAAUUGUUUUAAAUGAUUUUGCGCAAUGGUUAAUAUGGUGUCAUGAAAUUAUUGAAAUACUUUAGAUUUUGUAUGAAUGGUCAUUAAAGCUAAUUUUCUUUAACUAAAUUAAACCCUACAAUUCACACAAUUUAUGUAAAAUCAAAUUAUAUUAACACAAUCAUAUAUAGAUCACAAGAUUUUCUCAUAAUAUUAACAAAAGUCUUAAGACUCCAAAAAGAUUGACAAAAGUCUUAAGACUCAAUUGACCAAAAGCAAGGCCAAGUCAAAUAAAAAACAUUGAAAAAGCUCAAGAAGCCUCUGCAUCUGUAAGUAAACUUACUUCGCCUUUGUCUUAGAUUUCUUGAGAAGACUGGAAGUUCUGAACUCAUCAUCGUCUCUAAUAAAGCUCCACCAGAGAAUGGUUAGAGGAACUGUGGCGAUGUGCCAAAUAGAGUGAGCAUCGAAGUAGCCUCCAUACGGAGGGAAGUCAUAUAUCUCUAAAAGCAUAGCUAAACCUGAAGCUAUCACACAACCACCCACAGUUUCCAAUUAGAAGGAUGCCCAGAAACAGCUGCCCAUCUUGCCCAUAGGAAAAGCUGAGCGACUCCCAUGGCCACACACACAAUCAUGUUCCAACCUGUAAACAACAUUGAACUCAGAGAGAAUGUGGAGAAAAAAAAUGGAACUGGUUUCAGAUAGGGGAAAGAGUUCUCUGUAUACCAUAAUCAAGUUUGUAGAAGUUAAUGUACAGUACGUGGAUGGUGACUAAAGCUAGUAAUGGAGCGGAUACCAUGACUCUUGCAGCCUCCACCCGAACAUCAAAGGUUCUUAGGAUGGAUACGAUGAGUGAGAAUCCGAGAACGGCUAUUGCAGAUGAGUAGUCCAACCUCUUUGUGAUGUCAACAUCCCUGAGAAACCAUAGAGACAGAUCACGAGAAGAUUGAGGAUGAUAAAAGUAAUGUGUAGAUGAUUACCGAGUGUGGAAAACUGCACUCCAGAACCAAGAGUUCAUGGACAGAAACCAACAUAUUCAUAGUAACCCGUCCUAUCUUGUUUGAGAGGCAACUUAUAGUAUAGUGUAAUGAAGAAGGAGAGCCAUCCAUGGAAAUGCAUCGCUAGGCUUAGCACAGAGAAAGUAACAGAAGCAGGGUCCUGACAAUGACCACGGGCUCUUCUCAUCAUGGCUACCAUGUCCGUUUCCUGAACAAAUUCAUUAAUUAUUCCAGUUCUCUAAACAUAACAUCUAAAUGUUGUAACUUCUCAAUCUUACCAUGGUAUUCUCCAUUGAGCCAGACAUGCAAUGCGUGGCCAACGUUAGAAACUCUAACAGUAGGCUUGCCUCCUUUAUUCUUAAGGUCACUGUCAUCUAUCUUGAACUUAUAAUAUAGAAAAUUAAUCAGAUAAAAUUCUUAUGUUUCUUUUUGAUGUUUUCUUCUUGAAAUUCUAAUUCAUAAAAAGAAAUCAGACUUGUACGCUUACUUUGUUGUAUACCAUCUGUAAUCAGACCGGUCUCGGUGAACACCUUGAAAUCAAACUUCUUAUUUGCCUUCUUUGACUUCAUAUAAUUUCCUUCAGUGUGAUGAGAGACAAUCUGAAACAUAUAGCAAAAAAAAAAAAGAGUAAAUAAUCUCUUAAUUUUUUGUCGAUACAAUACCUGAGUAGAGUGCUUCCCAUGAAUUCACCAUGCUUCUUGAUGUUUUCCGAGUUCCAAAAAUGGGAGAAGUCGAGCAACAAUGAACGCUUGAUAAAGAAGAUUAACUAACAGAGGUUCUGAAGAUUCAUCUAUAAUUUAUAGGUUUUGCGUGAAGGAAACGGAGAGGUCGACAUCACUUCUGAAUUAAAUGACGAAAACAUUAAUUGGUAAAUCAAGAGACAUACGUUGAACAAUAGGGAAGAUUAGUGUUUGGUGUUUGCAGAGAAGCUGAACGGAGACGGCAAAGGUAAAGAGACGAAGAACAAUUAAAAAAACCCUAAUCGACAAAACGCUGUGUUUAAUAACAUAAUAAAACAUUAGUUGAACGGGAAAACUCAAAUCAUACCAUAUAAUUUAAAAACCAAACGCGAGAAUAGAAUUACUAAACCAAACCGAGAAUCAUGGACCCCACAGUCUUCAUAAAAUGCAUACGUGUACAGCUUAAGGAGAGAGUAAACUCUCCUAUCAUAAAUAUAUAUUAGUUUCGGCCAUCAAUGUACAAGUAUCCUUUAGUUUAGUGUAUAAAUGUUGGUGUUUAUAUGUCAAUAACCCGGGUUCGAGCCACAGAUUUGACACUUUUUUAAACUUUUUAAAAGUGAGACCCACAGACCGCUAACGUGGCGGCACAAGAAUGAGGCAACUGUCUCAUUAUAUUAUAGAUUAGUUAUUUGUCAUUUGAUAAUUUUAUAACUUCUACCAUUUUUAGUGUGUUUAUUUAUAAAACUAACCAUUUAGUAUAUACUUGUGACGGAAAAAAAUCGUAACAAUAUCACUGAAUCUUAUAAUGUAUGUUAAUAAAAUUUAUUUCAUAGCAAAAUAAUAUAUUAUGUUUUUCAGUUUUAUAUGGAUCAUAAUUUUCUUUAUACACCAAAUAAUUUUAAACUUACAAAACCUAAUUAAUUUAAAUUUUAAAAUUAUAGGAAAUAUGAAAAUUGAGAUUUUUUCUGCUAACUUUUGAAUUUAGAUUGUAUAUAAUAAUAUAACCAAAAAAAUUUAACUCAGUAUAAUUUAUAAAUUUUAUUAAUUAUAUACUACAUUAUUAACUUAAAGUUUGUUUUUGUAUUCUUAGAAUUCAGUAGAUCUUUGUGAGUUAUAUUGAUGUGAAAAUUAUUAACAUAUAUAUAUAUUAAACAAACUUAGUAUAUUUACAAAGCAACUUCUAAAAUUGGAAGAAAGAUAUAACUACAAAGCAACUUCGUCACUCCAAAAGGAUAACACUUACUUUGGGUUCUCCUCCACUGCCUUUUUUUAGUUUCGACCUUGUGCUCUAUUUCAAUGCAAGGCAAACCAUUUCCAAACACAAAAUCUUCGAGCUCUUCUUGUUCAUUCACUGAAGCUCUGGCUUUGGUUAGUUGAGUAGUCUUGUUUCUCUUCUUCUGGGCCUCCAACUACAUGAAUUAUAGACUUUUCAAUCCAUGUGAUCUUUUGAUGUAUAGCAGAGAGUAUGCCCUGAGAUAAGUACUGAUAAUUCAAAUCAA